This 335-nucleotide unclassified non-coding RNA is filed under the name plant metagenome. RNAcentral describes it as "partial contains small subunit ribosomal RNA and internal transcribed spacer 1". The stretch from base 1 to 46 matches the Rfam family "Eukaryotic small subunit ribosomal RNA", at positions 1786 to 1831 of the family's 1831-position model. The record is from RNAcentral.
AAGUCGUAACAAGGUUUCCGUAGGUGAACCUGCGGAAGGAUCAUUAAAAGGAUCGUCUGGCAGCUGGUAGCCCUCGUGGUUGCCAGUCCUUGCGCCCUCGGGAGCAAAGCCAAUAUGGAUCGUCGCGCUGUUGCCAGUGAGCACCUAACCGUGCGGAAAGCAGGCCCUGGGACCGGGUCCCUGUGGUGCGGCCUUCGGGCUGCCGGCGGGCUGUUCUAACCCUCUGUUUAUGUAUACCUUUGUAGCUUCCUCGGCGGGCUUGCCCGCCGCUAGGAACCAACUAUAACCUUUUGCAUUAGCAUCUAAACCUCUGAUAAAAAACUUAAUUAUUACAA